CAGUCGCCGCGGUAAUACGAAGGGUGCAAGCGUUAAUCGGAAUUACUGGGCGUAAAGCGUGCGUAGGCGGUUUGUUAAGUCUGUUGUGAAAUCCCCGGGCUCAACCUGGGAAUGGCAAUGGAUACUGGCAAGCUAGAGUGUGUCAGAGGAUGGUGGAACUCCCGGUGUAGCGGCGAAAUGCGUAGAGAUCGGGAGGAACAUCAGUGGCGAAGGCGGCCAUCUGGGACAACACUGACGCUGAGGCACGAAAGCGUGGGGAGCAAACAGGAUUAGAUACCCGCGUAGUCCCUGUCUCUUAUAC
RNAcentral lists this ribosomal RNA (301 nucleotides) under uncultured bacterium. RNAcentral's name for it is "partial 16S ribosomal RNA". It matches the Rfam family "Bacterial small subunit ribosomal RNA", at positions 509 to 807 of the family's 1533-position model. The record is from RNAcentral.